This 253-nucleotide unclassified non-coding RNA is filed under the name uncultured Gammaproteobacteria bacterium. Its description in RNAcentral is "contains 16S-23S intergenic spacer region". It matches the Rfam family "Bacterial small subunit ribosomal RNA", at positions 524 to 776 of the family's 1533-position model. Lineage: Bacteria; Pseudomonadati; Pseudomonadota; Gammaproteobacteria. The record is from RNAcentral.
UACAGAGGGUGCGAGCGUUAAUCGGAUUUACUGGGCGUAAAGCGUGCGUAGGCGGCUUUUUAAGUCGGAUGUGAAAUCCCCGAGCUUAACUUGGGAAUUGCAUUCGAUACUGGGAAGCUAGAGUGUGGUAGAGGGUAGUGGAAUUUCCUGUGUAGCGGUGAAAUGCGUAGAUAUAGGAAGGAACACCAGUGGCGAAGGCGGCUACCUGGACUGACACUGACACUGAGGUGCGAAAGCGUGGGUAGCAAACAGG